UUGAACGCUGGCGGCAUGCCUUACACAUGCAAGUCGAACGGUAGAGGGGCAACCCUUGAGAGUGGCGAACGGGUGAGUAUAUAUCGGAACGUGCCCAGUCGUGGGGGAUAACGCAGCGAAAGCUGCGCUAAUACCGCAUACGAUCUAUGGAUGAAAGCGGGGGAUCGCAAGACCUCGCGCGAUUGGAGCGGCCGAUAUCAGAUUAGGUAGUUGGUGGGGUAAAAGCCCACCAAGCCGACGAUCUGUAGCUG
This 251-nucleotide ribosomal RNA is filed under the name uncultured bacterium. RNAcentral's name for it is "partial 16S ribosomal RNA". It matches the Rfam family "Bacterial small subunit ribosomal RNA", at positions 30 to 289 of the family's 1533-position model. The record is from RNAcentral.